This is a non-coding RNA of Mycena latifolia, 75 nucleotides long. Lineage: Eukaryota; Fungi; Basidiomycota; Agaricomycetes; Agaricales; Mycenaceae. The record is from the annotation of a GenBank genome assembly.
GGAUCCAAUGCUCAACGGUUUGAGCGCGCUGUAUUUGCAACGGCGAGUUCGCGGGUUCGACUCCCCCUGGAACCA